Molecule: long non-coding RNA, 402 nt
Organism: Neofelis nebulosa (Clouded leopard)
Lineage: Eukaryota; Metazoa; Chordata; Mammalia; Carnivora; Felidae
Exons: 2
Source: RefSeq, a predicted model, not a curated record
UCAGUGAAGUUUUAGCGACAUAUGAAGAAUUAAUGAACAUUGCAAAUUUUCAGUGAGACACUGUGCUGAACAGGAGUUGAGUAACUUGGACCUGGAUAGACUUUGGCUAAUGGCACCACUGGAGGGGCCUGGGAGGAACAGCUUAUUCUCCUUGAGUGUUUUCUCUAAACCAUCUGUAGUUUUCAACCAAAUCUAUUUGGAAGUAAAAUAAGCUGCAGCACAUGGAUAUGAUCUCACGGUUCGUGGGUACAAAUCCUGCAUGGACCUCUGUGCUGACAGCUCCGAGUCUGGAACCUGCUUCAGAUUCUGUGUCUCCCUCUCUCUGCCCUCCCCUGCUUGCGCUCUUUCCCUCUCUCUCUCUCUCUCAAAAAUGAAUAAUCAUUAAAAAAUUUUAAAAACUCA